This 768-nucleotide ribosomal RNA is filed under the name Triticum aestivum (bread wheat). Its description in RNAcentral is "partial small subunit ribosomal RNA". Lineage: Eukaryota; Viridiplantae; Streptophyta; Magnoliopsida; Poales; Poaceae. The record is from RNAcentral.
AUGCUUAGAGCUUGUGUUUUGGAUUAUGGAUCAAGUUGGGAUGACAACUUGCCAUACGCGGAGUUUUCUUACAACAACAGUUAUCAAUACAGUUUGAAGAUGGCCCCUUUCGAAGCCUUGUACGGAAGGAGGUGCAGAACCCCGUUGUUGUGGGAUGAGGUGGGAGACCGCCAGUUGUUUGGACCGAAUCUGAUUAAGGAGUCUGAACAGAAAGUAAAAUUGAUCCGCGACAGGCUCAAGGUAGCUCAGUCAAGACAGAAGAGCUAUCCAGAUUCAAAACGCAAGGAGACAGAAUACAAAGUCGGACACAGAGUUUAUCUUCGAGUAUCUCCACUUCAAGGAGUUAAGCGUUUUGGAGUUAAAGGGAAGUUAGCGCCACGUUUUGUGGGGCUAUACAAAGUUUUGGAACGCAUGGGAGAAGUAGCAUACAAGUUGGAAUUACCUGAGGGAUUGUCAGGAGUUCACGAUGUGUUCCAUGUUUCUCAGUUGAAGAAGUGUCACGCAGAGAUGGCUGAUAUACCACUGAGAGAUACAGUGCCAUUGGAAGCAAUUCAGUUGAAGUAUAAUUUGACAUAUGAAGAGAAACCAGUUAGGAUUCUGGAUUAUGCCAGUCGAGUUACCCGGAGUAAGGUUAUCAAGUUUUUUAAAGUUCAGUGGAGCCACCACACCGAGGAGGAAGCCACCUGGGAGCGAGAGGAAGAUCUGCUCAAGGACCACCCUCACCUAUUUGCUAGCCAACCCGAAUCUCGAGGGCGAGACUCAUCUUAA